GACGAACGCUGGCGGCGUGCUUAACACAUGCAAGUCGAACGGAAAGGCCCUGCUUUUGUGGGGUGCUCGAGUGGCGAACGGGUGAGUAACACGUGAGUAACCUGCCCUUGACUUUGGGAUAACUUCAGGAAACUGGGGCUAAUACCAGAUAGGAGCUCCUGCUGCAUGGUGGGGGUUGGAAAGUUUCGGCGGUUGGGGAUGGACUCGCGGCUUAUCAGCUUGUUGGUGGGGUAGUGGCUUACCAAGGCUUUGACGGGUAGCCGGCCUGAGAGGGUGACCGGCCACAUUGGGAUUGAGAUACGGCCCAGACUCCUACGGGAGGCAGCAGUGGGGAAUAUUGCACAAUGGGCGGAAGCCUGAUGCAGCAACGCCGCGUGCGGGAUGACGGCCUUCGGGUUGUAAACCGCUUUCGCCUGUGACGAAGCGUGAGUGACGGUAAUGGGUAAAGAAGCACCGGCUAACUACGUG
This 468-nucleotide ribosomal RNA is filed under the name uncultured bacterium. RNAcentral's name for it is "partial 16S ribosomal RNA". It matches the Rfam family "Bacterial small subunit ribosomal RNA", at positions 28 to 507 of the family's 1533-position model. The record is from RNAcentral.